GAUGAACGCUGGCGGCGUGCUUAACACAUGCAAGUCGAACGGAAAGGCCGAAGCUUGCUUCGGUACUCGAGUGGCGAACGGGUGAGUAACACGUGGGUGAUCUGCUCUGUACUUCGGGAUAAGCUUGGGAAACGGGGUCUAAUACCGGAUAUGACAAUCUCUUGGAUGGGGUUGUGGAAAGCUUUGGCGGUGUGGCAUGAGCUCGCGGCCUAUCGGCUUGUUGGUGGGGUAAUGGCCUACCAAGGCGUCGACGGGUAGCCGGCCAGUGGGAGUGUAAGGCCGCAUUGGCACUGAGGUACGGCCGAGGUUGGUACUGUUGGCAGAAGUGGGGAAUAUUGCACAAGGGACGCAGGCCUGAUGCAGCAGGGCUGCGUGGGGGAUGACGCCCUUCGGGUUGUAGACACCUUUCGCAACCGACGAAGCUUUUUGUGACGGUAGCUUGAGAAGAAGCACCGGCUAACUACGUG
This 467-nucleotide ribosomal RNA is filed under the name uncultured bacterium. RNAcentral's name for it is "partial 16S ribosomal RNA". It matches the Rfam family "Bacterial small subunit ribosomal RNA", at positions 28 to 507 of the family's 1533-position model. The record is from RNAcentral.